ACGCACGCUGGCGGCGUGCUUCACCCAUGCAAGUCGCACGCUGAAGCUUGGUGCUUGCACUGGGUGGAUGAGUGGCGAACGGGUGAGUAAUACGUGAGUAACCUGCCCUUGACUUUGGGAUAAGCCUGGGAAACUGGGUCUAAUACUGGAUACGACAUGUCACCGCAUGGUGGUGUGUGGAAAGGGUUUUACUGGUUUUGGAUGGGCUCACGGCCUAUCAGCUUGUUGGUGGGGUAAUGGCUCACCAAGGCGACGACGGGUAGCCGGCCUGAGAGGGUGACCGGCCACACUGGGACUGAGACACGGCCCAGACUCCUACGGGAGGCAGCAGUGGGGAAUAUUGCACAAUGGGCGGAAGCCUGAUGCAGCGACGCCGCGUGAGGGAUGACGGCCUUCGGGUUGUAAACCUCUUUCAGCACGGAAGAAGCGAAAGUGACGGUACGUGCAGAAGAAGCGCCGGCUAACUACGUG
This 471-nucleotide ribosomal RNA is filed under the name uncultured bacterium. Its description in RNAcentral is "partial 16S ribosomal RNA". It matches the Rfam family "Bacterial small subunit ribosomal RNA", at positions 29 to 507 of the family's 1533-position model. The record is from RNAcentral.